GCGGAGCUGGCGGAAUGGCAGACGCAGCGGAUUCAAAACCCGCCGCCUUUGGCAUAAGGGUUCAAGUCCCUUGCUCCGCACCA
This 83-nucleotide transfer RNA is filed under the name Bacteroides sp. RNAcentral describes it as "tRNA-Leu". It matches the Rfam family "tRNA". Rfam says of the family: Transfer RNA (tRNA) molecules are approximately 80 nucleotides in length. Their secondary structure includes four short double-helical elements and three loops (D, anti-codon, and T loops). The record is from RNAcentral. Lineage: Bacteria; Pseudomonadati; Bacteroidota; Bacteroidia; Bacteroidales; Bacteroidaceae.